Heterocephalus glaber (naked mole-rat) is the source of this 984-nucleotide long non-coding RNA. Lineage: Eukaryota; Metazoa; Chordata; Mammalia; Rodentia; Bathyergidae. The record is from Ensembl.
CUGUAAUGGCCCUGAUAUUUGCAAAUGCACAUUAUUUUGACUAUGCUGUGGGCAAAACAGGCCCUAAGGGGCCAUCAGGAUACAUGAACCACUGCUACAAGAGCCCAUUUCUGUAGAAGCUCAUACUAGGUGGCAAACAGCAGGCAGUGGGCGGCCUUUGGCAGGCUGAAAGAUGCUGGGUUGUGUACAGACCAGAUAGAUGAGGCUCGUGAUGUCCAAGACUUCUCCAUGCCUGAGGAAAGGUUCUGGGGCAUUGACCCAUUGAGAUGCUGCGUAGCUGAGGGUACUGGCUUUGUGGGCAGGCAUUCCUGCUGUGUGACCUUGGAUAACUCAUUUCUCCUUGGCAGACCCGAUAAUUCUUUUCUGAAAACUGAUGCCAACAGUGUUUAGGCUACAAGUAACAAAAUGUCUGGCUAGCAGUGGCCUAAGCAACAAGGACGUUUGUCACCUCUCGGAGGGAGCAGCCUAGAGGUGGCCAUCCUGCAAGAGACCACCAAUGGAGCCUGCUGCAGACAGGCAGGUCUGUGCACGCCCUACCCAGGUCCCGAGUUGUGUGGAAGAUGCCGAAUCACCCCGCUGCAGACAGGCAGGUCUGCCCAUGCCCUACCGAGGUCCCCAGUCGCGCGGAAGACACUGAAUCACCCCGCUGCAGACAGGCAGCCACCUGGUUCCACACUACAAAGAUGCAGAGGACAACAGACCACUAGACCAAGAUUUUCUCUUGGAUCAUUUUGGGGAAAGUUGGCUGCCACAUCAAGAGGCCACUUAGGCAGCUGUGGAGUUAUCCACACUGCAAGGAUACCUGCCAAGAGCCACAUGAAUGACCUUGGAAGUGGAUUUUGCUGCCCCACUCAACCCCUCAGAUGACAACCUCACAAGAGACCCUGCACCAGAGUCACUGAGCUAAGCUGCCCAGAGAUUCCUGACCUUCAGGGGGCAUGUUAGAUAGUGAAUGUUUAUUGCUUUACACUGGUAAAUGAUGGA